Hippocampus zosterae (dwarf seahorse) is the source of this 77-nucleotide small nucleolar RNA. The record is from RefSeq and is a predicted model, not a curated record. NCBI's taxonomy places the organism in Eukaryota, Metazoa, Chordata, Actinopteri, Syngnathiformes, Syngnathidae.
UGAGUGACAUGAUGAAGCUGUUAAUGCGAAUCCAAAUGCAUAGUGUGGACAACCUACCUUGGAGAACUGAUCGCUCA